This 207-nucleotide ribosomal RNA is filed under the name uncultured bacterium. RNAcentral describes it as "partial 16S ribosomal RNA". It matches the Rfam family "Bacterial small subunit ribosomal RNA", at positions 568 to 774 of the family's 1533-position model. The record is from RNAcentral.
CGCGUAGGCGGUUGGAUAAGUCAGCUGUGAAAACCACGGGCUUAACUCGUGGCCUGCAGUUGAGACUGUCUGGCUUGAGUGUGGGAGAGGAGAGUGGAAUUCCUGGUGUAGCGGUGAAACGCGUAGAUAUCAGGAGGAACACCGGUGGCGAAGGCGGCUCUCUGGACCACAACUGACGCUGAGGCGCGAAAGCUAGGGGAGCAAACA